UACGGAGGAUCCGAGCGUUAUCCGGAUUUAUUGGGUUUAAAGGGUGCGUAGGCGGCCUUUUAAGUCAGCGGUGAAAGUCUGUGGCUCAACCAUAGAAUUGCCGUUGAAACUGGGGGGCUUGAGUAUGUUUGAGGCAGGCGGAAUGCGUGGUGUAGCGGUGAAAUGCAUAGAUAUCACGCAGAACCCCGAUUGCGAAGGCAGCCUGCCAAGCCAUGACUGACGCUGAUGCACGAAAGCGUGGGGAUCAAACAGG
This 253-nucleotide ribosomal RNA is filed under the name Parabacteroides distasonis. RNAcentral's name for it is "partial 16S ribosomal RNA". It matches the Rfam family "Bacterial small subunit ribosomal RNA", at positions 524 to 776 of the family's 1533-position model. Lineage: Bacteria; Pseudomonadati; Bacteroidota; Bacteroidia; Bacteroidales; Tannerellaceae. RNAcentral also lists the same sequence under 1 other name. The record is from RNAcentral.